CCCCCCUCCUCUCCCCCCCCCCAUCUGUCCAAUGCCCAUCACAAAAAACCCAAGACGGAAUUUUCCAAAUCCAAAUUCCACGGCCACACGCGCAGCCACUCGGACGCUUUCCCCUCCCAAUUUUCCCUCCCCGCCGACUGGAGAUCUCGCCGCCUCCCUCCCCAACCGUACCCCACGCCGCGCUCUCCGACACCAAAUCCGCACCCCAGCUCAAUUCAAUUCAAACCCCACUUCUAUUCAAUAUACUCUUUCCACUGCGUGAUGAUUUUCAUGUAAAGUUCGAUUGGAUUUUCAAGUUAUCAAUUUGAAAUUUCCCUAGAAUGCCGGAAAAGCUGAGAUUAUGACAUUUUCCCGUGAAAAUUAUGAGGGCAGGUUCUUCCGACGAGCCCAAUUCUCCUUCCACCUCUGUGCCGCGCGUUCCUCAGCCCAAUCCGUGCAAGCACAGUGUUAGCAAUGUCCUUAGAUUGUUAGCACGGAGAGAGGUUUCUCCGCAAACGAAACAUUGGUCAAAGAAGUUAUGGGGGGAACCUCUGAAGUCUAAUUCCGAUUCUGUUGGCCCAAAGUUUGAAACAGCUAGAGAUGCUAGGCACAGCCUUGUCUCAUGGGUGGAGGCAGAGUCACUCCAGCAUUUGUCUUCCAAAUAUUGUCCGCUUGUGCCUCCUCCACGGUCAACUAUUGCAGCAGCCUUCAGCCCCGAUGGAAAGACACUAGCUUCAACUCACGGAGACCAUACUGUAAAGAUUAUUGAUUGCCGAACUGGGAUCUGCUUAAAGGUCUUGAGUGGUCACCGUAGGACACCAUGGGUGGUUAGAUUUCAUCCUUUGUAUCCAGACAUAUUGGCUAGUGGAAGUUUGGAUCAUGAAGUUCGCUUGUGGGAUGCAAACACGGCAGAGUGUAUAGGAUCUCGUGAUUUUUUGCGUCCCAUUGCAUCCAUAGCUUUCCAUGCCCAAGGUGAGCUGCUCGCUGUUGCGUCAGGUCAUAAGUUGUACAUAUGGCACUACAAUGGGAGAGGGGAGACAUCCUCACCAAGCAUAGUACUGAAGACACGACGUUCGCUCCGGGCUGUGCAUUUUCACCCGCAUGGAGCUCCUUUCCUUUUAACUGCUGAGGUCAAUGACAUGGACUCCUCAGAUUCCUCGAUGACACUUGCAACUUCUCCGGGUUAUUUGCGCUAUCCUCCACCUACUGUAUAUUUGGCAGAUGGUCAAUCUAGUGAUCGUUCCAGUUUGGAAGAUGGACUACCUCUUAUGUCUUUACCAUUUCUGAUAUGGCCUUCAUUUGCUAGAGAUAAUGGGAGAAUAUCUAUGCAGCGUAGUGAUGCAGACAUUGGUUCAAGUAGUGUGCAACAGAGAGUUGAUCCUUCUGCUUCAGUGCGGUUGCUAACAUAUUCAACUCCUUCAGGGCAGUAUGAACUUCUGCUGUCCCCAAUUGAACCUAGUAGCUCUUCUCCAGCACCAGAAGAGACAGAAACUAAUACUUUCUUGAGUGAAAUGGAAACUGAAGUUUCUCAACCUGCAAUGGACAGUUUAGAGGCUUUGGAAGUGCAACCUGAAGGGAGGAGCAAUCAUAUUUUCCCAUUUGGUGACUCAACAUAUUGGGAACUUCCUUUUUUGCAAGGGUGGUUAAUUGGUCAGACCCAAGCUAGCCAACGGAAUAUGCGGCUGGUAGGUGAUGCUACACAAGAUAAUCCAUCUGCACGUGGUGAGAUGGAUAAUCCAGCCAUAACUUCCUCGGUAAUACCAACCAGUGUGAGCCAAUCCAGGCUUACUGGAAGAUCUAGUUCCCGGCAUCGUACUUCACGAACUCAUAUGGUGUCGACAAUUGGAUCUAAUGAAGUUGCUGGAUUCUAUAGUUUUGCGCAUGCUGAAAGUGAGCCUCAACCAGUUGUGAGUAGAAUCCAAUCUGAACUUGCCAACUCACUUGCUGCAGCAGCAGCUGCAGAGUUGCCUUGCACUGUAAAGCUCAGAAUUUGGCCACAUGAUUUGAAAAGUCCUUGUUCUCCCCUUGAUGCAGAAAGAUGUCGCUUAACCAUUCCACAUGCUGUACUUUGUAGUGAGAUGGGUGCCCAUUUUUCCCCUUGCGGAAGGUUUUUAGCUGCUUGUGUUGCAUGUAUGUUGCCCCAUAUGGAAGCUGAUCCUGGAUUGCAGAGCCAGGUCAACCAUGACGCGACAGGGGCAUCAACGUCCCCAACUCGACAUCCAAUUUCAGCACACCAUGUUGUGUAUGAGCUCCGGAUAUAUUCCCUUGAGGAAGCAACAUUUGGAAUGGUUCUUGCAUCCCGGGCAAUAAGAGCUGCCCACUGCUUAACAUCUAUUCAGUUCUCUCCUACGUCAGAGCAUAUAUUACUUGCCUAUGGCCGUCGUCACAGUUCACUUCUUAAGAGUGUUGUCAUUGAUGGAGAGACAACAGUGCCUAUUUACACCAUUCUGGAGGUCUACAGAGUUUCUGAUAUGGAACUUGUGAGAGUUCUUCCUAGUGCAGAGGAUGAGGUCAACGUAGCUUCCUUUCAUCCUUCAGUUGGAGGUGGCCUUGUCUAUGGAACCAAGGAAGGGAAGUUAAGGAUCCUCCAAUAUGAUAGUUCUCAUUGCAUGAAUCAGACAACAUCUGCUUUUCUUGAUGAAAACAUGCUUGAGGUCCCGACAUAUGCCUUGGAAUGCUAGGAACUAGCCAUCAUUUUCCACUUGUGGGACGAACCACUCAGCUUAGCAGGAUGGACAACGUUCAGAGUAUGACGCCUUUAAUAUUACACUUAUUUUCUAGAGGUUUUGGUGGUGGGUUGAGGUUUUUCUUGAGUAUGGAUUCCUCCUUUUUAGUUGUAAAUAAAAAUUAUAGGAGGCGCAUGGAUUGAAUAGGACGGGCAUAGAUUGAAUACACUUGAUGAAAUCACGGUGUAUCCGUGAAGCUGAACAUUGGGCCUGAAUUACGCAGAAUUUGUUUACGUAUAACAGUUAACCCUGUACCUGACUGUUGCUUCUUCAGUCAAAUGCCUGUGAAAUUCUCCAUUCAGAAUCGAAAAAUACAGCUUUGUAAUUUUUCUUUAUUGUAUUUUUAGAGUAUAUGUUGUUCAAAUUACUAGGGAAUUUAAUUUAACAAGGGAACAGAUAAGUUGGGAGCGAAAAACCGUGUUGUUGUAUACGCGUGUUUGGUUCCGUUGGACGUUGUUAGGAAUGUAAUUGAUUCUCUUUUUCUCUGUCUUGAACAAGGCAUUGUGUUUUUAGGCCCUUGUAUGUUGGCCUUAACUGUAAAAAAAAGGAAAAAAAAAAGCAGAGCAAAGUUUUUCUAAAU
Molecule: RNA transcript, 3285 nt
Organism: Malus domestica (apple)
Lineage: Eukaryota; Viridiplantae; Streptophyta; Magnoliopsida; Rosales; Rosaceae
Source: RefSeq, a predicted model, not a curated record